Molecule: ribosomal RNA, 511 nt
Filed under: uncultured Glomus
Lineage: Eukaryota; Fungi; Glomeromycota; Glomeromycetes; Glomerales; Glomeraceae
Description: SSU rRNA
Rfam family: Eukaryotic small subunit ribosomal RNA
Source: RNAcentral
AGCAGCCGCGGUAAUUCCAGCUCCAAUAGCGUAUAUUAAAGUUGUUGCAGUUAAAAAGCUCGUAGUUGAAUUUCGGGGUUAGUAGGUUGGUCAUGCCUCCGGUAUGUACUGGUCUCACUGAUUCCUCCUUCCUGAUGAACCGUAAUGCCAUUAAUUUGGUGUGGUGGGGAAUCAGGACUGUUACUUUGAAAAAAUCAGAGUGUUUAAAGCAGGCUCGCGCUUGAAUACAUUAGCAUGGAAUAAUGAAAUAGGACGUUUAUCCUAUUUUGUUGGUUUCUAGGAUUGACGUAAUGAUUAAUAGGGAUAGUUGGGGGCAUUAGUAUUCAAUUGUCAGAGGUGAAAUUCUUGGAUUUAUUGAAGACUAACUACUGCGAAAGCAUUUGCCAAGGAUGUUUUCAUUAAUCAAGAACGAAAGUUAGGGGAUCGAAGACGAUCAGAUACCGUCGUAGUCUUAACCAUAAACUAUGCCGACUAGGGAUCGGAUGAUGUUAAUUUUUANGUACUCGUUCGC